UACGGAGGGUGCAAGCGUUAUCCGGAUUCACUGGGUUUAAAGGGCUCGUAGGCGGCCAACUAAGUCAGACGUGAAAUCCCUCAGCUUAACUGGGGAACUGCGUCUGAUACUGGAUGGCUUGGAUUCGGGAGAGGGAUGCGGAAUUCCAGGUGUAGCGGUGAAAUGCGUAGAUAUCUGGAGGAACACCGGUGGCGAAGGCGGCAUCCUGGACCGAUAUUGACGCUGAGGAGCGAAAGCUAGGGGAGCAAACGGG
This 253-nucleotide ribosomal RNA is filed under the name uncultured bacterium. RNAcentral's name for it is "partial 16S ribosomal RNA". It matches the Rfam family "Bacterial small subunit ribosomal RNA", at positions 524 to 776 of the family's 1533-position model. The record is from RNAcentral.